RNAcentral lists this ribosomal RNA (1443 nucleotides) under metagenome. RNAcentral describes it as "bacterial SSU rRNA". It matches the Rfam family "Bacterial small subunit ribosomal RNA". The record is from RNAcentral.
AGAGUUUGAUCCUGGCUCAGGAUGAACGCUGGCGGCGUGCUUAACACAUGCAAGUCGAACGAACCUUCGGGUUAGUGGCGGACGGGUGAGUAACGCGUGAGAAUCUGCCCUCAGGAGGGGGAUAACGGCUGGAAACGGCCGCUAAUACCCCAUAUGCCGAGAGGUGAAAUGAAUUUCGCCUGAGGAUGAGCUCGCGUCUGAUUAGCUAGUUGGUAAGAUAAGAGCUUACCAAGGCAUCGAUCAGUAGCUGGUCUGAGAGGAUGAUCAGCCACACUGGGACUGAGACACGGCCCAGACUCCUACGGGAGGCAGCAGUGGGGAAUUUUCCGCAAUGGGCGAAAGCCUGACGGAGCAACGCCGCGUGAGGGAUGAAGGCCUCUGGGCUGUAAACCUCUUUUUCUCAAGGAAGAAGACAUGACGGUACUUGAGGAAUAAGCCACGGCUAAUUCCGUGCCAGCAGCCGCGGUAAUACGGGAGUGGCAAGCGUUAUCCGGAAUUAUUGGGCGUAAAGCGUCCGCAGGCGGCCUUUUAAGUCUGUUGUUAAAGCGUGGAGCUCAACUCCAUUCCGGCAAUGGAAACUGGAAGGCUGGAGUGUGGUAGGGGCAGAGGGAAUUCCCGGUGUAGCGGUGAAAUGCGUAGAUAUCGGGAAGAACACCAGUGGCGAAGGCGCUCUGCUGGGCCAUAACUGACGCUCAUGGACGAAAGCCAGGGGAGCGAAAGGGAUUAGAUACCCCUGUAGUCCUGGCCGUAAACGAUGAACACUAGGUGUCGGGGGAAUCGACCCCCUCGGUGUCGUAGCCAACGCGUUAAGUGUUCCGCCUGGGGAGUACGCACGCAAGUGUGAAACUCAAAGGAAUUACGGGGGCCCGCACAAGCGGUGGAGUAUGUGGUUUUAUUCGAUGCAACGCGAAGAACCUUACCAGGGUUUGACAUCCUGCGAAUCCCUUGGAAACUAGGGAGUGCCUUCGGGAGCGCAGAGACAGGUGGUGCAUGGCUGUCGUCAGCUCGUGUCGUGAGAUGUUGGGUUAAGUCCCGCAACGAGCGCAACCCACGUCUUUAGUUGCCAGCAUUCAGUUGGGCACUCUAGAGAGACCGCCGGUGGUAAACCGGAGGAAGGUGUGGAUGACGUCAAGUCAUCAUGCCCCUUACAUCCUGGGCUACACACGUACUACAAUGCUACGGACAAAGGGCAGCAAACUCGCGAGAGCUAGCAAAUCCCAUAAACCGUGGCUCAGUUCAGAUCGUAGGCUGCAACUCGCCUACGUGAAGGAGGAAUCGCUAGUAAUCGCAGGUCAGCAUACUGCGGUGAAUACGUUCCCGGGCCUUGUACACACCGCCCGUCACACCAUGGAAGUUGGCCACGCCCGAAGCCGUUACUCCAACCCUUGUGGAGGAGGACGUCGAAGGUGGGGCUGAUGACUGGGGUGAGGUCGUAACAAGGUA